This 323-nucleotide unclassified non-coding RNA is filed under the name Hevea brasiliensis (rubber tree). Lineage: Eukaryota; Viridiplantae; Streptophyta; Magnoliopsida; Malpighiales; Euphorbiaceae. The record is from RNAcentral.
UGGGGGGACAAGGCUCACAAGCCCAAAUACAUAAUUUACUGCUUAACUCCACCCAAACCCAUACGAUAAAGACCCAAAGCUUAUAUAUUUUGGAGCCCUAGGCUGAAACAGGUUGACCCGACAAAUCACCUCCUUGACUGCCACCAUGGAUAACUCCUUCCACCAGUUACUCAACCGAAGGAAACUACCUUAAGCCAAAGGAAGUUGCAACAACAGAAGAAAGCUCAAAAAGGACCAUCACAACAGGAGUCUCAGUCCUCAUCCAUACACAAUAAACUCCCCCAACUAACACAGAAUUAGAACAGGGGAGUUGAGAAGUAAAC